UCUCUCUACCUCUCUCUCUCUGUCUGUCUCUACUGCCCUACCAACCUCUCUCUCUCUACCUCUCUCUCUCUGUCUCUCUCUCUGUCUGCCUCUACCGCCCUACCAACCUCUCUCUCUCUACCUCUCUCUCUCUCUGUCUCUCUCUCUGUCUGUCUUUCUCUCUCAACUCUUAUGUUCCCCUCGAUAUCUACACAUUUCCCUCUUCCUUAGAAAUUAGAUUUCUCUCUCACGUGGCACACACAGAGACAUACUUGCUCACGCAUGAAUGUCAGAAGGUUCAGAUAUUAAUGAGAGUGCUGCCUUGUCCCAUGCUGUUAGGAGUCCUAGCCUCCUUGCAUAAAUCCUUGUUUUUCUUUCCUACUCUACGGUGGAGAUGUGUGGAGAUUUGUUUUGUUUUUUUACAGCUAUUCCUCAGUUUCACUAAGCAAGCUGGGGUUGCUCAAGACCCAAUAUGACUGGUUUUGUAUGUGGGAACCACAUUUAGUCAGAGGAAACUGCAAAACACUUUUUAAAUAGUUCAAAGGUUAAGAUGCUUGUCCUCGAAGUCGACAGGAGGUCAAGGAGCCUCAGUAACCAUAAAUGGAUGGAAUCAUAAUGCAUAAAUUCCAUUAAGUAGACCUUUUUAGAUGUGAAACAACAGAAUGCUAUCUUCUAGCCAGCAGGGUGAGGUUAGGUAUCCAUACCGGAUCUGCCUAGUUCAGACCGGGAGAUGGUGGGGAGCAUCACCAACGAAGAGGCGAGAUGAGGGAGUGCACCAACCUGGAAUAGCACACUUGACAUUUUCCAAACACUUCUUUAUCUGGAUGUAUUCCACCUGAUCUGGGGGGUUACCAAGGAACUGGGAAACACACUCUGAGGGGCGGUUGGAGAGCGGACACCUGUUAGCUGAUUGUGUUUUAGACAGAUGCAGCGAAGGCCUUUUCAGACUGCUGAUGUCUAAUGGCUUCCUGUAGGUCUUUGUUUGCGUUUGUUUGGGAAGGGCACGAGGUGGGCACUGCCAAAUCAAAUGUCCAACAACACCAUGGCAGUGGUAGUUCUGAUAUGCUUCCUGUAAGUGCUUGUUUUAUUGUCUUGUGUGUGUGUGUGUGUUUGUGUAUGUGCGUGUGUGUGCGUGUGCGUGUGCGUGUGUGUGUGUGUGUGUGUGUGUGUGUGUGUGUGUGUGUGUGUGUGUGUGUUGGGUGUUGUUUUUCCCAGGGGAUAAGCACACUAUCCUUCAAUCUGUCGUUCGGCGUAUGGGUUCCUAUCGCGGACUACUUCCUACCGCUUGGUGAUUGGCUUGUUAUUUUUAGUCCGGAGAGCUGAGUGAGAUUGAAGAUGCAUUUGGACUGGUCAUCUGUUGUUCUUCUGCGUUGCUGUGUAACGUGCAACGCUGCUCAUCCAGCACUUCAGACUGACUCCCAUUUACGUCAUGUCAAAAUUCACUUUUUGUUUACAAUAUUUGGUUAUUUUGAGAGGAAUGCGUAGCCUACAACUCAACUCCUCUUUGUGGCUGGAGAUGUUUGCGAAACCAGGCAAUAGUCUUGCCAGGUGGAAUGAGACAACCAUUCGCAAAUGAGGGAAGAGGGGGCCAACAGGUCAAUGGGAAAGGAGGACAGCGUCCGGUUGAGAGUGACAGCUCCUUCAGAGAAACCCCUUCACCGCCAAAUACAUCUUGAUAAGCACAUUAGCUCGGCAAACUGCUCAUAAUGUCACUCUUAGAUGUCUUCUUAUUCUUUCUCGAAAAGCAAUUAUCUAGUUAAGCCAAGUUCUCGCUGGCCAUGAGGACGAGGGGAUGCUUUUGACGGCGGCUGUUAAAGCAACACGGAGGGGGGGACUCCGUAAGUCUGGUACAGGUUGUGUCAACACUGGUGUUUGUCACAGAAGGCAGUGGAGUCAGUCCAAGUGUCUAACCCUACAGCCC
Molecule: long non-coding RNA, 1900 nt
Organism: Oncorhynchus masou masou (cherry salmon)
Lineage: Eukaryota; Metazoa; Chordata; Actinopteri; Salmoniformes; Salmonidae
Exons: 3
Source: RefSeq, a predicted model, not a curated record